AACUCUUUUGGGCAAGAGGGACACCACC
Molecule: non-coding RNA, 28 nt
Filed under: Rattus norvegicus (Norway rat)
Lineage: Eukaryota; Metazoa; Chordata; Mammalia; Rodentia; Muridae
Source: RNAcentral